This 305-nucleotide ribosomal RNA is filed under the name uncultured bacterium. RNAcentral describes it as "partial 16S ribosomal RNA". It matches the Rfam family "Bacterial small subunit ribosomal RNA", at positions 506 to 808 of the family's 1533-position model. The record is from RNAcentral.
ACAGCAGUAGCCGCGGUAAUACGUAGGUCCCGAGCGUUGUCCGGAUUUAUUGGGCGUAAAGCGAGCGCAGGCGGUUAGAUAAGUCUGAAGUUAAAGGCUGUGGCUUAACCAUAGUACGCUUUGGAAACUGUUUAACUUGAGUGCAGAAGGGGAGAGUGGAAUUCCAUGUGUAGCGGUGAAAUGCGUAGAUAUAUGGAGGAACACCGGUGGCGAAAGCGGCUCUCUGGUCUGUAACUGACGCUGAGGCUCGAAAGCGUGGGGAGCAAACAGGAUUAGAUACCCCAGUAGUCCCUGUCUCUUAUACA